GUCUGCAGAGAAGACAAGGAGCUCUGUGUGCUGGCUCACCUGGGAGUGCUCACCUGUUGGGAGAGCUCUUCAUCUCCCACACAGAACCAGACCUGCCAAGUUGUGGGGAGAGAUGCUAUCUGCCAGAUCACUCUCUCCUGAAGAUGAUGCCAGGCAAGUGAAAUCGGCACCUUGCUCUGAGCUAGGCCACUCUGGCACUUUCCCUAGAGAUAACUAUGCCAGCUUACCUACGAGGACACAAGCCCAACUCCAGAGAUGCCCCUGCACGGUGCUCGCCACUGGGUCUGGGACCAGUGAGCACCUCCUUCCAGGAGACCCACAGGCCUUUCCUGACGUUUUAUCCCUCCUCCUUGGACUACUGCAAGGCCACUUGCUUGUGAAGGAAACUGAGGCACGGAAAGGUGGUUGCUUACACUGGACCAAGAUGUCAUUCGAAGUGGGCCUCAGUUUCUGCCACUCUUGUUGGACACGGCCUGAAAAUACCUCUUCCUCCUUCCCGUCACUUCUCUCCAUUCAGUUCCCUCAUGAGAUCGAAUGUGUUUAAAGAGAGAGGCCCUUAACCAGACAAUUAAAGUAGGAUUUCCCUUUAAGAUGGAGUUUGCAGAAAGGAACCGUGUUUAAAAGCAGGGACCACCUCUUUGGGAAUGCAAAGGAGAGAAAUAAUCAGCUUCAAUUUGCGAAGAACCAUUUGUCAUGAAUGCCCUACAACUAUGUCUGUUGUAGAUCUUUUCUCCAGUAUAACUAAGUUAUUGAACAUAUAUCAUGGAACGUUUCUAGACUCUGGGGCUCUGCAGACAGCCCCCCAGAGGCCAGCUUUUCCAUUUCUUACAAUAUAUACUCAGGCAAAGACAGAGUGUCAUUCUUAGCACUUUGCGAAUUGGUAUUUUUUUUUUAACAUAGUUUUGUGCUGUUUAAUGCUAGGUGCUUAAUACCUUGGAGCACUUAAAAUCCUAAUAGCACGUUGAAUUAUCACUGCUUUGCAGCCAGGGAGGCUAAAAGAAAGGUUUAAAAAAAAUGAUCAGGUGCCUGUUCUGUUCAGUUCAAGGUGGAAGCAGAAAGUCGAGUCCCGGGACGACAUUACAUCGACAGCGUGCUCCCCUCCUAGCGUGUCUGUGUAUAUGGAAAUUAUUAUUGAGAAAGCUCAGCCAAGUGUCUCCUUUCUCAGCAGCUCAAUUCUAAUGCCUCCAAAGCACAAAACCAGAGUGGCUGGAAUGGAGCAGCAACUUGGUUUGAAUAAAUCAUUUCAAUUCCUGGAGGGUUAUUUUCCUUAUAAAGCAGGGGUCAUGUCCCCCAAAGAUUGGUGCAAAGUCUCUUGAAUUCUUGGAAAAUGUUCAUGGGAAACGCAAACAAGGAUGUAUCUGUGAGCCAGCCCUGGUGACCUAGUGGUUAAGUUCGGCACUCUCUGCUUCAGUGGCCUGGGUUCAGUUCCCGGGCGCAGACCUACACCGCUCGUCUGUCAGUGGCCAUGUUGUGGUGGCGGCAGCUCGCACACAAAAAAGGAAGGUUGGCAGAGGCUGUUAGCUCAGGGCGAAUCUUCCUCAGCAAAAAAAGAGAAAAAAAAACACACCUGCAAUGCUUUCUUAAUACCUAUGUGGGGAUUAUUUGUUUAAUGAGCACUGACUGAAGAUUUCAUCUACACUGCAUUCUGGGCACAUAGGACAGGACUCAGGCAUGGACCAGAAGUGUUAUAGAGCAGAAGGGGGUACAUUUAACCCCAGCCCAUAAACUUGAAGAUACGUAUGCUCAGUAAAAAGAAAACAGAAAAGAUAUAGAACAGUGGAUAUGGUAUGCUGACAUUUGUAUAAAAAAAGAAGAGAAGAAAAUGGAUACACAUUUGCCUGUAUUGUAUGUAUAACAGAUACAUCUGGUAACAUCAGUUAGUAGGAGAGGGGGAAUGAGUGGUGGGAUUAAGGGAUAGGAGAGAGAACUUCCAUUCAUACCUUUUGGACCUUUUAAAUUUUAAACCAUGAAAAUGUAUUACCUAUUACAAAAAAAUAAAUAAAAUUUAAUCAAAAACACAAUGUGACCUAUUCCAAGGGGCAGGGGAGUGGCUCAGAGGCCUGGGAGUGGGAG
This is a long non-coding RNA of Equus caballus (horse), 2073 nucleotides long. NCBI's taxonomy places the organism in Eukaryota, Metazoa, Chordata, Mammalia, Perissodactyla, Equidae. The record is from Ensembl.